ACCAAAACCCUUCCCAGAACCCCCCCUUUCUCGUCUCUCUCACUCACCGCCCAACGUCACCGCCGGAAAUUGCCUACGGCGGCGGCCUAGCUCCAAACCACCAAAAAAUAUCACUCUAUACUCCCUCUCCCUCCUCAUUUCUAAUAUAUUACCCAUUUCCCUUAGAACCCUUCAGUUUUUGUUGAAUAGAGGAUUUAGGAAAUACCCAAAACCCUAGUCCGCCCCCUUUCAAUUUUUCACUAGUUUCAACACUCGAUUUGACCUGGGACUUGCGUUGAUCGAUUGUUCUCAACGAGAAUAAUCGAUUAACAUUAGUUUCGGUUCAUUUCAAAGAUGUCGAAAUCCGGUCAAACAACCGUUGACCGGUCAUUUGCUCCCCAAUCGUUCUGAUGUUGUUUCUCCAGCGGGUCAAGGAUCGUUUCUGUCGCUUACUUUGAGCUUAAUAGGUAUACUCCUUUUUCUUCUCCCUUUUCUAUUGUUUUCAGCUUUUUGGCUCCUCAUUCAUCUUUGAAUUUGGUCCGUCAAUUAAGUCCAGUCAUGCAGAAUGAGGUUCUAGAUGAAUUAAGGUUUGCAUAUCGUCUUAAUUGUCAUUUUUCCGUUUUAAUUAGUUGUUGAUUCAUAGUUCACUAAUUGUUGGCUUAACUUUAGUUAAUUGGUAAUUUUGAAUUAGUUAGUAAUUACCUAUGUUGAGUAUUUAUAGGUUUGCAUAAUCAAUUGGACCACUUCCAUGUUUAGUUGUCAAGUUUUGAUUUGUUUGCUAGUUUGAUAGACUUUCGAAUUUGAUGCUGAGUUUGCAUAUGUUCAGUCAUUAAGAGUUUUGAUUUUAUUUUUAAUAGUUUAAUUGUUGUCUAAAUAUUAGUUUAAAUUAUUGGUUCAAUGCAGAAAUCCUGUUUCAUAAUUAGGGUAAGUGGUUUUAAACUGUUAAGGAGUUAAGAGAAAGAAAAGAAGGAAAGAGUAAAUAACAUGGGCCUAAGGGGAUAUGUUGGGAAUUGACUAAAGGAAUAUUUUUUCUGUAGCUGUUUUAGAAGAUUCUAUAAGAUAGAAUAAGGGUCAUUUUACAAUUAAAAAAUGAAAGGGGUUGGGCAUUUGGGGCUGAGAGAGUAAUACAAAAAUAGAAAAGGGACUGAAAAAGAAAAGAAAUAACAGAAGGCACAACUAGAAAAUCUGUUAUAAAAGAUGCCCUCCCUACACACUACUCAUGGACUCUCAUAAACUCUCACCCUUCACCCAUGCAAUACUUCCCUGAAAGAAAAGCUGAGAACAAAAUUCUGAAAUUCAGAAUUGAAUUCUCGAUCUUGAAAUCCAAAACUUCCAAAACCGUAAAAAAAAAAAACAAAAGAGUUUAGAAGUUGUUUCUAAGAUUUUGCUGGUUCUCUUCAAUAACUUCUGGUUUCUCAAGUUAAUUUUGGACUGGAAAUUGAGGUUUACUAUGUGGUCUACUGCUUAUUAGUUGCUAUUUGUUGCUGCUUAUCAAUCUGUAGCUGAGCUUUUAGUUCUGGUUUUUAUUUCUUCUCCAGAAAUAAGAGAUCUAUUUUCUUUUGUGUGUUUUGCUGUUAACCAGGUAUCCUCUGAUCAAAUGUCCUAAACCUUAUUUGUUUGAAUGAGAAUAGUAUAAAUUUGUUCAUGUUUUGUUAGUUUCAUUGCUGCCAAAUUGAUUGAUAUUCCCUAUGUUACAUCAUGUUCUAUCGAUAAGUGUAAAUGUUAUUCCGUGAGAAUUGUUGUUGUAAUUUCUGUGGUUGUCAACAGUUUAAUGUGUUAAUAUACUGAAAUGAGAUCAUUGUUGCAUAAACGAUCAUUUUACUCUCUGCCUGGAAUAAAAAAAUCUUGCUGUUUAUUGGUGAUGAAGGAAGUUGUUGGCACUGACUACACGACUGUAAUUUGCAGACCUGACCACUAAUUGGUCAGGUCAGUGAAUUUUGACGCCAAAGAGUGGGAUGGAGGUUCAAGCUGAAAGCAAAAUAUAUUUUGCUUUAGGCUCAAUAUUAUCCUAACUGAUUUAUGCAUGUAUUAGAAAGCUUUAUGCCAUGUUAUCAUUAUUGAGAAUUGUAAUUGAAAUGACCACUACUGUAAACACCAGAAUCUGGUAGUCUCGAGGUUUGAAUGCCAGCUUUGCUAUUUGAUAUUCGUAUAAUUGACUUUUCUGCUCAUAUGCAAAUCUGAAUUUAGUUUAAAGUAUUAAUCUGCAC
This 2186-nucleotide long non-coding RNA is filed under the name Nicotiana tabacum (common tobacco). RNAcentral's name for it is "long non-coding RNA (NTAB_LNC000236)". Lineage: Eukaryota; Viridiplantae; Streptophyta; Magnoliopsida; Solanales; Solanaceae. The record is from RNAcentral.